This 497-nucleotide ribosomal RNA is filed under the name uncultured bacterium. RNAcentral describes it as "partial 16S ribosomal RNA". It matches the Rfam family "Bacterial small subunit ribosomal RNA", at positions 28 to 507 of the family's 1533-position model. The record is from RNAcentral.
GAUGAACGCUGGCGGCGUGCCUAAUACAUGCAAGUCGAGCGAACAGACGAGGAGCUUGCUCCUCUGACGUUAGCGGCGGACGGGUGAGUAACACGUGGAUAACCUACCUAUAAGACUGGGAUAACUUCGGGAAACCGGAGCUAAUACCGGAUAAUAUAUUGAACCGCAUGGUUCAAUAGUGAAAGACGGUUUUGCUGUCACUUAUCGAUGGAUCCGCGCCGCAUUAGCUAGUUGGUAAGGUAACGGCUUACCACGGCAACGAUGCGUAGCCGACCUGAGAGGGUGAUAGGCCACACGGGAGCUGAGACACGGUCCAGACGCCUACGGGAGGCAGCAGUAGGGAAUCGUCCGCAAUGGGCGAAAGCUUGACGGAGCAACGCCGCGUGAGUGAUGAAGGUCUUCGGAUCGUAAAACUCUGUUAUUAGGGAAGAACAAAUGUGUAAGUAACUAUGCACGUCUUGACGGUACCUAAUCAGAAAGCCACGGCUAACUACGUG